CUGAGCUCACACGCCCGGGAAGCGGCCGCGGCGGAGCCGGCGUCCGCAGCGGCUGCGCAUCUCGCGCCUCCCGCGGGGCGCUCGGGGGGCGGCGAGGCAGGUUGCGCAGUCCCCCGGGAGGGAGGCGGCCGCGGGAGAGGAACGGCAAAUGACAGAGCAGAGGGAUGGCUGGCCCAGCCAAUCCUGGAGCUGCUGCAGCACUUGUUCACCAAACACACACAUUCUGGUGCAAGGACAGAGAGGAGGGGGCUACUGGCUCACACUCCUUCCCCCACACAUGGCUCCCUUGCUGUUCCCCUGUGGGAAGGGCAGCCUGGCCACCUUAGGCUGCAUGGACAGAGGCUGCCAUGGGCCAGGGUGGUGAUGGUGCUGCGGCCCCUCCCUGCUGCCCAGCGUGGGAAGAAGAAUGCAGAGCCAGUCCCCCUUAGCCAUGGACUGCCUGGUGGAGUGGAUGCCAUUCUUUGCUUUGAAGCCAGCUCUUUGUUCUUGAGGCCCCCUGGUGUGGCAGAUGGGUGAGAUGACCCCCAGAAUUUUGCACUGGGAGACUACAUGUACGUAGGGUUGGAUAAAGAGAGGGAGAAAUGAGCUCUGCCUUUGAGGUUUUGAGCAAGAAUGACUAGAAGGAUGAUGGUGCCUUUGUAAGAAAUUUGGAGCAGGCCUAAGGGGCUAGGGGCUGGUCAGGGAAGGGUGUACAGGGAAGUGGAUCAGACAGCAAAGAUAAACAUGGUGUUCUUUUACUGUACUCUCCACUGGGCUGUCCCUGGUUACCAGGGCAACAGAAGCAGUGAUGAAAAUCAUGCCUUUCGUUCGGUGGAAAAAUCUGGCUCCUCCUCCCACCUCUUCCUUCUCUGAUCGCCUGCGAUCCAUUGGGAGGGUGAUGGCUCCAGGGAUCAGGGACCCCAGCAUAUCCCCGUCAGGCCCCCCUCUUCCCCAAUUUUUUUUUAUCAUCUCCCAGCUUCCUGCAUCCCAUAUGUCCCCCAGAGCUAGGCAAUUGGUAGUUGCGUAGGAGUUGGAGUGGUUGGAGGGGGAAGGGCACGGACGUCAUUGCAAGGCAGGGUGAGCAGAGCGUGGGCAGAGAUGUGGAUGCAGGAAUGACUGGCACACGAAGAGGGUCAGGCAUUGGUCAGCUGGAUGGAGCUUGUUUCUGG
Molecule: long non-coding RNA, 1148 nt
Filed under: Equus caballus (horse)
Lineage: Eukaryota; Metazoa; Chordata; Mammalia; Perissodactyla; Equidae
Description: lncRNA (ENSECAG00000056480.1)
Source: RNAcentral